CAGAAAUCCUCCUCAUCAAAAACAUGACUCUGAUCUGCAGCCUCAUCUGGACUCUCCUCUGCUGCUGCUUCACAGAGUCCAGAGGACAGGUCACGGUGACUCAGUCUGGAGCAGUGAGCUCUGCUCUAGGAGGCUCUGUCACCAUCAGCUGUAAGACCAAUGAAGCUGUCAUCAAUUCUGACUCUGUAGAGUGGUACCAACAGAAACCCGCAGGAGUACCUAAGCUACUCAUUUACUACACCAAAAACCGGAAAGAAUAUACUCCACUUCGUUUCAGUGGUAGUGGAUCAAACACUGACUUCACUCUGACCAUCAGUGGAGUCCAGCCUGAAGAUGCAGCAGUUUAUUACUGUAAAGCCCGACACACAAUCAGCAGUAAGAACCUGUUCACACAGUGA
Molecule: non-coding RNA, 398 nt
Organism: Amphiprion ocellaris (clown anemonefish)
Lineage: Eukaryota; Metazoa; Chordata; Actinopteri; Pomacentridae
Source: the annotation of a RefSeq genome assembly